RNAcentral lists this ribosomal RNA (253 nucleotides) under uncultured bacterium. Its description in RNAcentral is "partial 16S ribosomal RNA". It matches the Rfam family "Bacterial small subunit ribosomal RNA", at positions 524 to 776 of the family's 1533-position model. The record is from RNAcentral.
UACAGAGGUGCCAAGCGUUAGGCGGAAUCACUGGGCUUAAAGCGCGUGUAGGCGGGUCGUUAAGUACCUUGUGAAAUCCCACGGCUCAACCGUGGAACUGCUCGGUAUACUGGCGGUCUUGAGCCACCUAGGGGCAACUGGAACAAGCGGUGGAGCGGUGAAAUGCGUAGAUAUCGCUUGGAACGCCAACGGUGAAAACAGGUUGCUGGGGGUGUGCUGACGCUGAGACACGAAAGCCAGGGGAGCGAACGGG